GCCAGGCAUGGGGGUGUUUGUCUGGAAUCCCAGUGGCUUGGGAGGCUGAGGCAGGAGGAUCCCAAGUUCAAAGCCAGCCUCAGCAACUUAGUGAGGCCCUAAGCAACUCAGGGAGACCCUGUCUCUA
This 127-nucleotide small RNA is filed under the name Marmota monax (woodchuck). The record is from RNAcentral. Lineage: Eukaryota; Metazoa; Chordata; Mammalia; Rodentia; Sciuridae.